GUGUCGUCGGAGCCACUGCAGGUUGGGGGCAGCGGCUGCAGCUCACGAAGCCAGGCUGACAAGAUGUAGGUCUAGCAGUAAUUCAGGUUCUCCUGCACCAGUGUCUUACUUUUCUCUCUGGUAACGUAAUAAUAUUAUGCAAAUCAGUGUCCUUUGUAGGACAGUAUCACACACCCUCUAGAAGUCUAAGAAGAUGCGGUCUGCCACUGUUGUGUCAUUGCCUGUGUGUAGCUACUCGAGCAAAGGUACACCCGCUGUGUGCUGUCAUUACUUGACGAUGUGUAUCCUGCGUGUUAACUUACGCUGAGGAAGACUGCGAAGUUCCCUUAUCCAUGAGGUGACACCUUGCUUAUCCCUACACCGCAAGAAUAUACGACCUUCAGCCAGUGGUUAUCCUCGACCGCUCAGUCGAACGCUUCCCACUUCUCUCCCUGAAUGUCAGAAUGUCUGUGGAAUGCGGGGAAGAGAGUCGCAACGAACGAAUCACUACAUCACGCCUAAGACAUUACUCCAGCUAAAUUCUCCAGUGUCUGACGAAGAUAUCAACUAUUUAUAUAUAUAUAUUUCAUAUAUUUCGAGCUUAAUAAAUCGAAUGGGUUAAAGCAACUGACCUAAAAAAGAAACUUUUCUAAAAUUUUCAUCUAUGGAUUAAUAAAUUUUUAUUUUCACUCUAUAUGGAGUAAUAUUUUUUUUAGUUUUACACCUACUCUUUCUCAGAAAAGUUACACCUAGCCUAACGUAAUCGAAUUUAGCCUAAUUCUACUAUAUAUAUUAUAGAUCGGUAUAAAUUAAACACUAACUAAAGUCAAUGAUAUAUAUUUUAUCGUUAUAUCAGACUGAUUUUCGCAGAUUCAUUGUAUAAGCAAAUUUUCUUUCUCCCUAUUUGGCAGAAGUGACCCUUUCUUAUGAGGACAAAUUCGGUGAUCCGGUUAAUUCGUCACAAAACACAAAC
This is a long non-coding RNA of Cherax quadricarinatus, 952 nucleotides long. RefSeq lists it as uncharacterized. NCBI's taxonomy places the organism in Eukaryota, Metazoa, Arthropoda, Malacostraca, Decapoda, Parastacidae. The record is from RefSeq and is a predicted model, not a curated record.